CCUACGGGGGGCAGCAGUGGGGAAUAUUGGACAAUGGGGGGAACCCUGAUCCAGCCAUGCCGCGUGUGUGAAGAAGGCCCUCGGGUUGUAAAGCACUUUCAGUGAGGAAGAACGCCUGGUGGUUAAUACCCAUCAGGAAAGACAUCACUCACAGAAGAAGCACCGGCUAACUCCGUGCCAGCAGCCGCGGUAAUACGGAGGGUGCGAGCGUUAAUCGGAAUUACUGGGCGUAAAGCGCGCGUAGGUGGCUUGAUAAGCCGGUUGUGAAAGCCCCGGGCUCAACCUGGGAACGGCAUCCGGAACUGUCAAGCUAGAGUGCAGGAGAGGAAGGUAGAAUUCCCGGUGUAGCGGUGAAAUGCGUAGAUAUCGGGAGGAAUACCAGUGGCGAAGGCGGCCUUCUGGACUGACACUGACACUGAGGUGCGAAAGCGUGGGUAGCAAACAGGAUUAGAUACCCUAGUAGUC
Molecule: ribosomal RNA, 465 nt
Filed under: Vreelandella stevensii
Lineage: Bacteria; Pseudomonadati; Pseudomonadota; Gammaproteobacteria; Oceanospirillales; Halomonadaceae
Description: partial 16S ribosomal RNA
Rfam family: Bacterial small subunit ribosomal RNA
Source: RNAcentral